AAAAUCCGCGCGGCUUAGCUGAGGCAUGAUAACGAGGGCCCUCGGGCCCGAAGCAACUGAUACCCUGCUUCCAGGAAAAGCCUCUAAGCUUCAGUCAUAGAGUGACCGUACCGCAAACCGACACAGGUGGGCUAGUAGAGAAUACCAAGGCGCUUGAGAGAACUCAGGAGAAGGGACUCGGCAAAUUGAUACCGUAACUUCGGGAGAAGGUAUGCCCCGUUAGCUUGUAGGAGUACAUCCGAAGGGCGAAGGGGCCGCAGAGAAUCGGUGGCUGCGACUGUUUAUUAAAAACACAGCACUGUGCAAACACGAAAGUGGACGUAUACGGUGUGACGCCUGCCCGGUGCCGGAAGGUUAAGUGAUGGGGUGCAAGCUCUUGAUCGAAGCCCCGGUAAACGGCGGCCGUAACAAUAACGGUCCUAAGGUAGCGAAAUUCCUUGUCGGGUAAGUUCCGACCUGCACGAAUGGCGUAACGAUGGCCACACUGUCUCCUCCUGAGACACAGCGAAGUUGAAAUGUUUGUGAAGAUGCAAUCUACCCGCGGCUAGACGGAAAGACCCCAUGAACCUUUACUGUAGCUUUGCAUUGGACUUUGACGGGAUUUGUGUAGGAUAGGUGGGAGGCUAUGAAACCAGGACGCUAGUUCGGGUGGAGCCAACCCUGAAAUACCACCCUGGUGUCGUCGAGGUUCUAACCCAGGUCUGUGAAUCCAGAUCGGGGACCGUGCAUGGUGGGCAGUUUGACUGGGGCGGUCUCCUCCUAAAGCGUAACGGAGGAGUGCGAAGGUCACCUAGGUACGGUCGGACAUCGUACUGAUAGUGCAAUGGCAAAAGGUGGCUUGACUGCGAGACCCACAAGUCGAGCAGGUGCGAAAGCAGGUCAUAGUGAUCCGGUGGUUCUGUAUGGAAGGGCCAUCGCUCAACGGAUAAAAGGUACUCUGGGGAUAACAGGCUGAUUCCGCCCAAGAGUUCACAUCGACGGCGGAGUUUGGCACCUCGAUGUCGGCUCAUCACAUCCUGGGGCUGUAGCCGGUCCCAAGGGUAUGGCUGUUCGCCAUUUAAAGUGGUACGUGAGCUGGGUUUAAAACGUCGUGAGACAGUUUGGUCCCUAUCUGCCGUGGGCGCUGGAAGUUUGAGAGGGCUUGCUCCUAGUACGAGAGGACCGGAGUGAACGCACCCCUGGUGUACCGGUUGUGACGCCAGUCGCAUCGCCGGGUAGCUAUGUGCGGAAGAGAUAACCGCUGAAAACAUCUAAGCGGGAAACUUGCCUCAAGAUGAGACUUCCCCGGGGCCUCGAGCCCCCUGAAGGGUCGUUGAAGACCACAACGUUGAUAGGUCGGGUGUGGAAGCGUGGCAACACGUUAAGCUAACCGAUACUAAUUGCCCGUGUGGCUUGAUCCU
Molecule: ribosomal RNA, 1400 nt
Filed under: metagenome
Description: bacterial LSU rRNA
Rfam family: Bacterial large subunit ribosomal RNA
Source: RNAcentral